Molecule: ribosomal RNA, 467 nt
Filed under: uncultured Pseudomonadota bacterium
Lineage: Bacteria; Pseudomonadati; Pseudomonadota
Description: bacterial SSU rRNA
Rfam family: Bacterial small subunit ribosomal RNA
Source: RNAcentral
GCCUACGGGAGGCUGCAGUAGGGAAUUUUGCGCAAUGGGGGCAACCCUGACGCAGCGACGUCGCGUGUGGGAUGAAGGGUUUCGGCUCGUAAACCACUGUCAGAUGGGAAGAUGGGAAUUACGGUUAAUAACCGUAAAUUUUGACUGUACCAUCAGAGGAAGCACCGGCUAACUACGUGCCAGCAGCCGCGGUAAUACGUAGGGUGCUAGCGUUACUCGGAAUCAUUGGGCGUAAAGGGUGCGUAGGCGGAACGGUAAGUCAGAUGUGAAAGCCUUGGGCUCAACCCAAGAAGAGCAUUUGAUACUGUCGUUCUAGAGUACAGGAGAGGAAGGUGGAAUUCCCGGUGUAGAGGUGAAAUCCGUAGAUAUCGGGAGGAAUACCAGAGGCGAAGGCGGCCUUCUGGACUGACACUGACGCUGAGGCACGAAAGCGUGGGGAGCAAACAGGAUUAGAUACCCCGGUAGUC